RNAcentral lists this ribosomal RNA (484 nucleotides) under uncultured bacterium. RNAcentral's name for it is "partial 16S ribosomal RNA". It matches the Rfam family "Bacterial small subunit ribosomal RNA", at positions 30 to 507 of the family's 1533-position model. The record is from RNAcentral.
AUUGAACGCUAGCGGGAUGCUUUACAUAUGCAAGUCGAACGGCAGCGCGGACUUCGGUCUGGCGGCGAGUGGCGAACGGGUGAGUAAUGUAUCGGAACGUGCCCAGUAGCGGGGGAUAACUACGCGAAAGCGUAGCUAAUACCGCAUACGCCCUACGGGGGAAAGCAUGGGAUCGUAAGACCUUGCACUAUUGGAGCGUCCGAUAUCGGAUUAGCUAGUUGGUGAGGUAACGGCUCACCAAGGCGACGAUCCGCAGCUGGUUUGAGAGGACGACCAGCCACACUGGGACUGAGACACGGCCCAGACUCCUACGGGAGGCAGCAGUGGGGAAUUUUGGACAAUGGGGGCAACCCUGAUCCAGCCAUCCCGCGUGUGCGAUGAAGGCCUUCGGGUUGUAAAGCACUUUUGGCAGGAAAGAAGCGUCGCGGGCUAAUACCCCGUGGAACUGACGGUACCUGCAGAAUAAGCACCGGCUAACUACGUG